RNAcentral lists this transfer RNA (73 nucleotides) under Bos taurus (domestic cattle). It matches the Rfam family "tRNA". Rfam says of the family: Transfer RNA (tRNA) molecules are approximately 80 nucleotides in length. Their secondary structure includes four short double-helical elements and three loops (D, anti-codon, and T loops). The record is from Rfam by way of RNAcentral. RNAcentral also lists the same sequence under 2 other names. Lineage: Eukaryota; Metazoa; Chordata; Mammalia; Artiodactyla; Bovidae.
UCCCUGGUGGUCCAGUGGUUAAGACUCUGUGCUUCCACUGCAGGGGGCACAGGUUCAAUCCCUGGUAAGGGGA